CCAGACUCCUACGGGAGGCAGCAGUGGGGAAUAUUGCACAAUGGGGGAAACCCUGAUGCAGCAACGCCGCGUGAGUGAGGAAGUAUUUCGGUAUGUAAAGCUCUAUCAGCAGGGAAUAGAAAAGAAGGUACCUGAAAAAGAAGCCCCGGCUAACUACGUGCCAGCAGCCGCGGUAAUACGUAGGGGGCAAGCGUUAUCCGGAUUUACUGGGUGUAAAGGGAGCGUAGACGGAAAGGCAAGUCAGAGGUGAAAGCCCAAGGCUCAACCAUGGGACUGCUUUUGAAACUGUGGGUCUUGAGUGAUGGAGAGGCAGGCGGAAUUCCCAGUGUAGCGGUGAAAUGCGUAGAUAUUGGGAGGAACACCAGUGGCGAAGGCGGCCUGCUGGACAUUAACUGACGCUGAGGCGCGAAAGCGUGGGGAGCAAACAGGAUUAGAUACCCUUGUAAG
This 447-nucleotide ribosomal RNA is filed under the name uncultured bacterium. Its description in RNAcentral is "partial 16S ribosomal RNA". It matches the Rfam family "Bacterial small subunit ribosomal RNA", at positions 331 to 793 of the family's 1533-position model. The record is from RNAcentral.